This is a long non-coding RNA of Bos taurus (domestic cattle), 510 nucleotides long. NCBI's taxonomy places the organism in Eukaryota, Metazoa, Chordata, Mammalia, Artiodactyla, Bovidae. The record is from Ensembl.
UAGAGAAGGGGAAGAUGGCAUUUGAGAUUGAGCAAACCCUUGAAAAGGCAGCUGGAACAUGGACUGAGUGACGCCACCAAGCGUCUUCCUGAAGAACUACACUCAGCAUCAAGCUGCCAUAGCUUUGAACUGUGUCUGUGAGCAUCUGUGCUUUGUCUCGAUAUGUUCUUUGCAUCCCUUAUUAAGAUGAAUCUCAAGGGAUCAGAAACAUACCUGUAAUUGAGAGACUGUUCCAGAUUAAAGAAGGCAGAAGACAUAAUGACUGAAUGCCAUGUGUGAGCCAGGAUUUGUUGAGAACAUGAGUGAUGAAAUUUGAAUAAAUUCUUCAGAUUAAUUAAUGAUUCCAUGUUAAUGUUAAUUUUAUGAUUUUGAAAAAUGGGACUUUGGAAAUAGAUGGGAAUGUCUGCUUAUUUUGAGAAAAUACAUGAAUAUAUUUAAGAAUAAAGGGACAGAAUUUCUGCAGAAUAUCUCAAACAAUUCAAAAAAGAGGGAGAGAAAAAAAUAACAAAG